RNAcentral lists this long non-coding RNA (1087 nucleotides) under Equus caballus (horse). RNAcentral describes it as "lncRNA (ENSECAG00000045756.1)". The record is from RNAcentral. Lineage: Eukaryota; Metazoa; Chordata; Mammalia; Perissodactyla; Equidae.
UCCCAUUAGAACUCCCCUUUCUCACUUUCAGCCUCAAUUUUCCCCAACUCACAAAUACCCGGUGGAAUAGGAAGGAUCUUAAAAUUCUUUUAAUCCACUGAUUUUCAAACUUGUUUUUUUUAAAUCAAGGAAUCUUUUCCUCAAACGAGGGCUCACCCAGAAACCCAAGAUGUAAAACAGAGCCACCUGGAUGUAUUCUGAUCAUGGAGGGGAGCCCGGCCCACAGCCCACCUGCUGCACUGACCUGCCCCUCUGAGUAAGGACUUCAAGAUAGAAAUGCAUUUCCUCCAUGUGCGAAUGAAGAAACUAGAGAAGACAUCACCAUUUUCCCUUCUAGAAAAUAUAUCCCAGGUAGUAGGGGAUUUCAGAGCUGACUGAAUGAUGCAACCAAAAGAACCUCCUGACUGAGCAUAAGAAAUACCCGCAGAUCCAAUGUGCAGCUUGAGGAGUGGAAUGAAGGUCAACUGAAGGCAGAAAUAGACAAAUGCUCCUCUAAAGGAGCCAGAGACUGGUGCCCACAAGAGAUGCUUGGAGAUGGGAGGUAAACAUACAGGCUGUAUCCUAAAGGGUUGAGACAAGAAGAGGCCUGGGCUCUGUUUAGUCAUGUAAAGGCUCAUGUAGUCUGGGAGGCCCAGGUCCAAGAAACACACUGCAGGAAUUGUGGGCAGAGACGCAAGUGACAGAUUGGAGCCUGUCUCAUGAUGCCCCAGCCUAGAUCCUUUAGAUCAUGGCUUCCAGAACCACAACAGACCAACGCUUUCCACAGAGAUGGGGAGGAAGUUGCUAGAACAAACACUAUACUGAAACUUGCCCCAAAUCUGAACCUAAUCAAACCCCAAUGUUUUCUUGAGGUUAGAAAAAGCCUGGCUUAGCAUUUUUAAAACAAUAUCUAUUUGCCUUUUGUCUCCCUUUGCAGCCAGAAGUGGAAGUUCUAAAAACCCAUUAAACCUUUGGGUUUUAUUUUGUAUUUAUUUCUUUACUAUAUGCAUUGCCUGGCCAAAACCAGAAAAUGCUGGAACAGCACAAGCUCGUUCUCCUGAGAUAUCCAGAUCAAAGUCGUUUGGAACUGCCUUGGCUAGGCAGCUGA